UACGUAGGGGGCUAGCGUUAUCCGGAAUUACUGGGCGUAAAGGGUGCGUAGGUGGUUUCUUAAGUCAGAGGUGAAAGGCUACGGCUCAACCGUAGUAAGCCUUUGAAACUGGGAAACUUGAGUGCAGGAGAGGAGAGUGGAAUUCCUAGUGUAGCGGUGAAAUGCGUAGAUAUUAGGAGGAACACCAGUGGCGAAGGCGACUUUCUGGACUGUAACUGACACUGAGGUACGAAAGCGUGGGUAGCAAACAGGAUUAGAUACCCUGGUAGUCCCUGAGCGGGCU
RNAcentral lists this ribosomal RNA (283 nucleotides) under uncultured prokaryote. RNAcentral describes it as "partial 16S ribosomal RNA". It matches the Rfam family "Bacterial small subunit ribosomal RNA", at positions 524 to 817 of the family's 1533-position model. The record is from RNAcentral.